Molecule: long non-coding RNA, 1499 nt
Filed under: Gossypium barbadense (sea-island cotton)
Lineage: Eukaryota; Viridiplantae; Streptophyta; Magnoliopsida; Malvales; Malvaceae
Description: long non-coding RNA (GBAR_LNC020464)
Source: RNAcentral
CAUCUAAAAUCAAUCCCUAAACAUGUAGUAUAUUGACAUAAAAUCAAUAUGCCCUCAGGCAUCUUAAUUGACCAAACAAUCAUGUUUAACCACAUAUACCAUGUAACCAAGUAAUCAACUAAUUUUUAUGUCUAAUCGCAUUUGUAGAAGCCCAAUUUCACCCGGGCCUAUUACAAACAAAUAAAACACAAAAUAACCCAUUUCCAACAGACCCAAACCCAUUACCAAAAUACCCAAACUAAACCCACCUAAACAGGCCCAAUAGCCUAACCUCGACCCAAACCCAAAAAAUUUUAGGGUUUCAGACCCCUAACUCUCCCUAGCCUAGCGCCGCAACCACCCUUGGUCUUCUGCUCACCUGCUCUGCCAGCAACCAUCGCCAACUGCCACUGUCAUCUCCAUCCACGUGCGCUGAUCCCUGCAAACAAAUCAAGGCAGACAUGACAAGCAUAGGAAAUAGACUAGAAAUCUCAUGUAAAUCGGCUAUAAAGCCAAGAAUAUGUAUUGUAAAAUGGCCCUAUCUCUUUUUCACGAUUUCAAGAAAUAAAAAGUAAAAAAAACAGAUUCAAGGACUCUUUGUUUUCGGUAUAAGAUCUAAUUCCUUUUUUUAUUUUUAUUUUUUUCUUCCUUUUGAAACUGUUUAUAUACAUACAUAUAUUUCUUUAGUUUUCUCUUUUAACUAUUAUACAUAUACAUUGAAAAAGAUUUACAAAAAGAAGAAGAAGAAAAAAGCGCACCUUUUCAACUUCCUGGCUAUUGCGGACGGCGGCGCCGUCGCCGGUGACAGGCGGCCUGCGCAACGGUGGUCGGCCGGAUCUCUGACCGGCAUCUGGAAAGGGGAGAGAGGGCUUGAGAGAAUUUUAGGUUUUUUUUAAAUAAAAGGCAGAAAAUGAAAUUUUUAAGAAAAAUUUGAUUUAUAUAGGCAUUCAAAACGGCACCGUUUUGGGCAUGCCUCUCUGGCACCAAAACGAUGCCGUUUUGCCUUUAAACCCGAUCCAAUCGACCCGACCCACUCCAAGAUCCGCGUGUUUUUUCUGUCAUGGGAUAUUUGCACCUUUGGCCCCUUCGCAUUUUCGAUUCGUUUCGAUUUUGUCCUUUUGGUUAUUUAUCUAUUUUAUAAAUUUGGCCCCGUUGUUUUGUCCGAUUUUUAAUCAGGUCCCUGACCUAUUUUCGCGCAGAAAAACGGACACGUGUCCAGAUUUUUUUUACCCAUUUGGUCCUUAGACUUUUGCGUUGUCCUUGUUUUAACCCUCAUUUAUUUAUUUUGUUGUAAUUUUACUCUUAAACUUCGUUUUAUUGUGAUUCGGUCCUUAAUUUACUAAUUUCUUUUAAUCCUACAUUUUGGUUAUUUAUUUAUUUGUUUUAAGGUUAUAUAUAUUAUUAUUUUAUAUAUUAUUAUCUAUGUUAAAUUGUUUAAUAUUAUUAAUUUCAAAUUGUCUCAUACAUUUUUAUAAUAUGUAUAUACACGUACAUACUUUUUAUUUAUUAAAUAUUUUUUU